CAACCCUCAAGCCUGGCUUGGUGAUGGGGCACUGCUUUCGUCCAGAAAGCAGGCCCUGAAAUCUAGUGGCGAGCUCGCCAGGACCCCGAGCGUAGUAGUUAUAUCUCGCUCUGGAAGGCCCUGGCGGUGCCCUGCCGUUAAACCCCCAACUUCUGAAA
Molecule: unclassified non-coding RNA, 158 nt
Filed under: uncultured Phomopsis
Lineage: Eukaryota; Fungi; Ascomycota; Sordariomycetes; Diaporthales; Cytosporaceae
Also listed under: 1 other name
Description: sequence contains ITS2
Source: RNAcentral